RNAcentral lists this ribosomal RNA (1815 nucleotides) under Triticum aestivum (bread wheat). RNAcentral describes it as "partial small subunit ribosomal RNA". The record is from RNAcentral. Lineage: Eukaryota; Viridiplantae; Streptophyta; Magnoliopsida; Poales; Poaceae.
AUGUCGCUGUAUUUCCGGCGGCUCUUCAACCGGCGGCCGCCGGCCGGGCUCGUCGAGAUCUCCAGCAACAUUCUGGUAUUUGACCACUGCUUCUCCACGGAUAUGCUUGAAGAAGACGAAUUGAAGCCAUACAUUGGAGGCAUCUUAAAACAGCUACUUGCGCGCUACUCCAUUGAUUCAUUAAUGGUAUUCAACUUUGAGGGAGGAAAGAAGAACAACCAAACUGCCCGCAUUUUCUCAGGCUAUAAUAUGAGUGCGAUGGGUUAUCCACGUAACUAUGAGGGGUGUCCUUUGCUCACCUUGGAGAUGAUUCACCAUUUUCUUAGGUCUAGUGAAAGCUGGCUCUCAUUAAGCCAGGACAACUACCUGCUUAUACAUUCAGAACACGGUGGGUGUCCGGUCCUUGCUUUCGCAUUGGCAGCCCUACUGGUUUACCUCCGAAGGUGCAAAGAUGAGAGGAAGGCGUUGGAGAUGAUCCACAAAUAUGCACCACCUGGGCUGGUUGAGCUCUACUCACCACUGGACCCAGCACCUUCUCAUUUGAGAUACUUGAAGUAUGUGUCAAGACGGCACAAAUCACCAGAAUUGUGGCCUCCUGCUGACAGGACGUUGAACUUGAACUGUGCAAUCAUCAGGACGGUACCGAAUUUUGAUGGUGAAGGGGGAUGUAGGCCAAUAUUUCGAAUUUAUGGCCCAGACCCCCUGGCUCCUCAUGACAGCAGUGCCAAAGUUCUCUUUUCAACUCCGAAGACAGAUGAUUUUGUCCAGCUUUACACGCAGGAAGACAGUGAGAUAAUCAAGAUUAAUAUCCGAUGUCCUGUUCGAGGAGACGUUGUCAUGGAGUGCAUCAGCCUGGAUGAGGACUUUAAACAUGAAGUGAUGGUAUUCAGAGUUAUGUUUAGCACGGCUUUUGUUCAAGACAAUCUUCUGUUACUUGAUAGGGACGAGAUUGACAUUCUGUGGGACACGAAACACCGGUUUCCCGUAGACUUCAGAGUUGAGGUUAUAUUUUCGGAGAUCGAUGCGACCACAUCGAUUAACACUUCUGAGCCAUCAAGCGAAAGUGAAAGCAAUCACAUCACGGAUGCUGCAUCAGAACAGAAGGGUUUGAACAUCAGAACAGAAAUGAGCAAUGGCACACCUGAACAUAACAUUCCAGAUAGCAGAUCUGUCCAGACUUCUCAGACGGAACCAGAAAAUAUCCAUUCUUCUGCACCAGAAGCUGAAUCCGUAGGUCCAACCACUCAAGAUCGUGAACUCUCCAUGGAUGCACCAAAGUCUGAGGGUGACAACGAUGCUAUUGCUGAUACAUCAUCCUCGCAAGACGCUGAAUCUGUAGGCCCAACCUCUCAAGAAGAUGAACUCGCCGAGAACGCUUCUGCAGGGGAGGAAUCAGAAGGGAGUACAACCAAUAGCACAGCCAAUUCUGAUACGCAGUUGGCAGACCCCCCAGGUUCAGAAGCUGACGCAGCCACUGCUGAACGUUCUGACACUAACUCAGAGUCAGGUUCACCUUCAAGCAGAGCUUCGUCUAGCUCGCCAAAGUUUGACGAAGAUACCGAGGACGCUGGAACAGCUGGGGCCGAAGCACAGUCGUCUAGCUCGCCAAAGUUUGAUGAAGAUACCGAGGACGCUGGAACAGCUGGGGCCGAAGCACAGUCGUCUAGCUCGCCAAAGUUUGACGAAGAUACCGAGGACGCUGGAACAGCUGGGGCCGAAGCAGAGUCGUCUAGCUCGCCAAAGUUUGGCGAAGAUACCGAGGACGCUGGAACAGCUGGGGCCGAAGCACAGUCAAUAGAACUGGAAGGAUCUUGA